This 1527-nucleotide ribosomal RNA is filed under the name metagenome. RNAcentral describes it as "SSU rRNA". It matches the Rfam family "Eukaryotic small subunit ribosomal RNA", at positions 250 to 1801 of the family's 1831-position model. The record is from RNAcentral.
AUCAUGAUAAGAAAACUGAUCGCAUUUGGGGUAACCCGGCGACGGAUCAUUCAAGUUUCUGCCCUAUCAACUUUCGAUGGUACGGUAUUGGCCUACCAUGGUGACCACGGGUAACGGGGGAUUAGGGUUCGAUUCCGGAGAGGGAGCCUGAGAAAUGGCUACCACUUCUAAGGAAGGCAGCAGGCGCGCAAUUACCCAAUCCUGACAUAGGGAGGUAGUGACAAUACAUACUAAUGCGGGGCUAUGCCUUGCAAUUGGAAUGAGUACAACUUAAACCUGUUAACGAGAACCCAUUGGAGGGCAAGUCUGGUGCAGCAGCCGCGGUAAUUCCAGCUCCAACGGCGUAUAUUAACGUUGUUGCAGUUAAAAAGCUCGUAGUUGAAGUUAUGGUGCGUUCUCUGUUAGAGGUGGUCUGCUUUCGGGUAGGCUAGUUCUUAUUGAGGCGUGCUGUAUCUUUUGCCGUUGCGUUCGUAUGCUCCUUCAUCGGUGUGUACGGGUGGACGGCGCAUUACUGUGAAAAAAUUAGAGUGUUCCAAGCAGAUGUAUAUCUGAAUAGUUCAGCAUGGAAUAAUAGAAUAGGGGAGAUUGCCCUAUCGUUGGUUUUGGGGUGAUUUCUGAUGAUGAAUAGGGACAGUUGGGGGCAUUAGUAUUUAAUUGUCAGAGGUGAAAUUCGAGGAUUUAUGAAAGACUAACUUCUGCGAAGGCAUUUGCCAAGGAUGUUUUCAUUGAUCAAGAACGAAAGUUAGGGGAUCGAAGACGAUCAGAUACCGUCGUAGUCUUAACCAUAAACGAUGCCGACUAGGGCUGGGUCUAUAUCAGAUCCGGACCUUUAGAGAAAUCGCAAGUUUUUGGGUUCUGGGGGGAGUAUGGUCGCAAGGCUGAAACUUAAAGGAAUUGACGGAAGGGCACCACCAGAAGUGGAGCCUGCGGCUUAAUUUGACUCAACACGGGGAAACUCACCAGGUCCAGACAUAGAGAGGAUUGACAGAUUGAGAGCUCUUUCUCGAUCCUAUGGAAAGUGGUGCAUGGCCGUUCUUAGUUGGUGGAGUGAUUUGUCUGGUUAAUUCCGUUAACGAACGAGACCUCAAGAGGGUGUUCUGUGCUUCCUUGAUUCAAGGAAUGUCUAUGCGCCCUCGACUAUCGGUUCUUAAGCCGAAGGAAGGUUGAGGCAAUAACAGGUCUGUGAUGCCCUUAGAUGUUCUGGGCUGCACGCGCGCUACACUGAUGGGGGCAAAGAGUGGGACAUUAGCCUUGCUCGGAAGGGCUGGGUAAUCUUGCGAAACCCCAUCGUGCUGGGGAUAGAUCUUUGUAAUUAUCGAUCUUCAACGAGGAAUUCCUAGUAAGCGCGAGUCAUCAGCUCGCGUUGAUUACGUCCCUGCCCUUUGUACACACCGCCCGUCGCUACUACCGAUUGAAUGGUUUAGUGAGGUUGGGGGAGGCGGGUCUUUCGGGACUCUACUGGAAACAGUAAUUGCUGAACCUACCCUAACUUGAUCAUUUAGAGGAAGUAAAAGUCGUAACAAGGUU